GGGUUGUGAGGUUAAGCGACUAAGCGUACACGGUGGAUGCCCUGGCAGUCAGAGGCGAUGAAGGACGUGCUAAUCUGCGAAAAGCGCCGGCGAGGUGAUAUGAACCUUUGACCCGGCGAUGUCCGAAUGGGGAAACCCAGUGUGAUUCGUCACACUAUCGUUAACUGAAUACAUAGGUUAACGAGGCGAACCGGGGGAACUGAAACAUCUAAGUACCCCGAGGAAAAGAAAUCAACCGAGAUUCCCCCAGUAGCGGCGAGCGAACGGGGAGCAGCCCAGAGUCUGAAUCAGCUUGUGUGUUAGUGGAAGCGUCUGGAAAGUCGCACGGUACAGGGUGACAGUCCCGUACACGAAAGCACACAGGUUGUGAACUCGAAGAGUAGGGCGGGACACGUGGUAUCCUGUCUGAAUAUGGGGGGACCAUCCUCCAAGGCUAAAUACUCCUGACUGACCGAUAGUGAACCAGUACCGUGAGGGAAAGGCGAAAAGAACCCCGGCGAGGGGAGUGAAAAAGAACCUGAAACCGUGUACGUACAAGCAGUGGGAGCACCUUCGUGGUGUGACUGCGUACCUUUUGUAUAAUGGGUCAGCGACUUAUAUUCUGUAGCAAGGUUAACCGUAUAGGGGAGCCGAAGGGAAACCGAGUCUUAACUGGGCGUUAAGUUGCAGGGUAUAGACCCGAAACCCGGUGAUCUAGCCAUGGGCAGGUUGAAGGUUGGGUAACACUAACUGGAGGACCGAACCGACUAAUGUUGAAAAAUUAGCGGAUGACUUGUGGCUGGGGGUGAAAGGCCAAUCAAACCGGGAGAUAGCUGGUUCUCCCCGAAAGCUAUUUAGGUAGCGCCUCGUGAACUCAUCUUCGGGGGUAGAGCACUGUUUCGGCUAGGGGGCCAUCCCGGCUUACCAACCCGAUGCAAACUACGAAUACCGAAGAAUGUUAUCACGGGAGACACACGGCGGGUGCUAACGUCCGUCGUGAAGAGGGAAACAACCCAGACCGCCAGCUAAGGUCCCAAAGUCAUGGUUAAGUGGGAAACGAUGUGGGAAGGCACAGACAGCCAGGAUGUUGGCUUAGAAGCAGCCAUCAUUUAAAGAAAGCGUAAUAGCUCACUGGUCGAGUCGGCCUGCGCGGAAGAUGUAACGGGGCUAAACCAUGCACCGAAGCUGCGGCAGCGACGCUUAUGCGUUGUUGGGUAGGGGAGCGUUCUGUAAGCCGUUGAAGGUGGCCUGUGAGGGUUGCUGGAGGUAUCAGAAGUGCGAAUGCUGACAUAAGUAACGAUAAAGCGGGUGAAAAGCCCGCUCGCCGGAAGACCAAGGGUUCCUGUCCAACGUUAAUCGGGGCAGGGUGAGUCGACCCCUAAGGCGAGGCCGAAAGGCGUAGUCGAUGGGAAACAGGUUAAUAUUCCUGUACUUGGUGUUACUGCGAAGGGGGGACGGAGAAGGCUAUGUUAGCCGGGCGACGGUUGUCCCGGUUUAAGCAUGUAGGCGGAACGAUUAGGUAAAUCCGGUCGUUUUUUAACGCUGAGGUGUGAUGACGAGGCACUACGGUGCUGAAGUAACAAAUGCCCUGCUUCCAGGAAAAGCCUCUAAGCAUCAGGUAACACGAAAUCGUACCCCAAACCGACACAGGUGGUCAGGUAGAGAAUACCAAGGCGCUUGAGAGAACUCGGGUGAAGGAACUAGGCAAAAUGGUGCCGUAACUUCGGGAGAAGGCACGCUGAUAUGUAGGUGAAGCCCCUGCGGGUGGAGCUGAAAUCAGUCGAAGAUACCAGCUGGCUGCAACUGUUUAUUAAAAACACAGCACUGUGCAAACACGAAAGUGGACGUAUACGGUGUGACGCCUGCCCGGUGCCGGAAGGUUAAUUGAUGGGGUUAGCGGCAACGCGAAGCUCUUGAUCGAAGCCCCGGUAAACGGCGGCCGUAACUAUAACGGUCCUAAGGUAGCGAAAUUCCUUGUCGGGUAAGUUCCGACCUGCACGAAUGGCGUAAUGAUGGCCAGGCUGUCUCCACCCGAGACUCAGUGAAAUUGAACUCGCUGUGAAGAUGCAGUGUACCCGCGGCAAGACGGAAAGACCCCGUGAACCUUUACUAUAGCUUGACACUGAACACUGGUCCUUGAUGUGUAGGAUAGGUGGGAGGCUUUGAAGCGUGGACGCCAGUCUGCGUGGAGCCGUCCUUGAAAUACCACCCUUUAAUGGCUGGUGUUCUAACGUAGACCCGUGAUCCGGGUUGCGGACAGUGUCUGGUGGGUAGUUUGACUGGGGCGGUCUCCUCCCAAAGAGUAACGGAGGAGCACGAAGGUUAGCUAAUCCUGGUCGGACAUCAGGAGGUUAGUGCAAUGGCAUAAGCUAGCUUGACUGCGAGAGUGACGGCUCGAGCAGGUGCGAAAGCAGGUCAUAGUGAUCCGGUGGUUCUGAAUGGAAGGGCCAUCGCUCAACGGAUAAAAGGUACUCCGGGGAUAACAGGCUGAUACCGCCCAAGAGUUCAUAUCGACGGCGGUGUUUGGCACCUCGAUGUCGGCUCAUCACAUCCUGGGGCUGAAGUAGGUCCCAAGGGUAUGGCUGUUCGCCAUUUAAAGUGGUACGCGAGCUGGGUUUAGAACGUCGUGAGACAGUUCGGUCCCUAUCUGCCGUGGGCGCUGGAGAAUUGAGGGGGGCUGCUCCUAGUACGAGAGGACCGGAGUGGACGCAUCACUGGUGUUCGGGUUGUCAUGCCAAUGGCACUGCCCGGUAGCUAAAUGCGGAAAAGAUAAGUGCUGAAAGCAUCUAAGCACGAAACUUGCCCCGAGAUGAGUUCUCCCUGACCCUUUAAGGGUCCUGAAGGAACGUUGAAGACGACGACGUUGAUAGGUCGGGUGUGUAAGCGCAGCGAUGCGUUGAGCUAACCGAUACUAAUGAACCGUGAGGCUUAACCUUACAACGCCGAAGGUGUUU
This 2933-nucleotide ribosomal RNA is filed under the name Enterobacter cloacae. RNAcentral describes it as "bacterial LSU rRNA". It matches the Rfam family "Bacterial large subunit ribosomal RNA". The record is from RNAcentral. Lineage: Bacteria; Pseudomonadati; Pseudomonadota; Gammaproteobacteria; Enterobacterales; Enterobacteriaceae.